CCGCCCCGCAAGGCCGACGGCAACCGCCGCCGCUGGUGCAAGCCCAGCCGCCCCACACCGGGGCGGGCGCUCAUGGGACGAUG
RNAcentral lists this ribozyme (83 nucleotides) under unclassified sequences. RNAcentral's name for it is "Twister_sister_ribozyme". It matches the Rfam family "Twister_sister_ribozyme". The record is from Rfam by way of RNAcentral.